GGGGGAUAUUGCACAAUGGAGGAAACUCUGAUGCAGCAACGCCGCGUGAGGGAAGACGGUUUUCGGAUUGUAAACCUCUGUCCUUGGUGACGAAACAAAUGACGGUAGCCAAGGAGGAAGCUCCGGCUAACUACGUGCCAGCAGCCGCGGUAAUACGUAGGGAGCAAGCGUUGUCCGGAAUUACUGGGCGUAAAGGGUGUGCAGGCGGAUAUUUAAGUGAGAUGUGAAAGACCCGGGCUUAACCCGGGCAGUGCAUUUCAAACUGGAUAUCUAGAGUGCAGGAGAGGAGAACGGAAUUCCUAGUGUAGCGGUGAAAUGCGUAGAGAUUAGGAAGAACACCAGUGGCGAAGGCGGUUCUCUGGACUGUAACUGACGCUGAGGCACGAAAGCGUGGGUAGCAAACA
RNAcentral lists this ribosomal RNA (404 nucleotides) under uncultured Eubacteriales bacterium. RNAcentral's name for it is "bacterial SSU rRNA". It matches the Rfam family "Bacterial small subunit ribosomal RNA", at positions 356 to 774 of the family's 1533-position model. The record is from RNAcentral. Lineage: Bacteria; Bacillati; Bacillota; Clostridia; Eubacteriales.